Molecule: ribosomal RNA, 1374 nt
Filed under: Triticum aestivum (bread wheat)
Lineage: Eukaryota; Viridiplantae; Streptophyta; Magnoliopsida; Poales; Poaceae
Description: partial small subunit ribosomal RNA
Source: RNAcentral
AUGCUAGAGGACAUCAAGAAGAUCAAAGAGUUCAGCCAUUGCAUUGCUAAAGCAAAGAGAACAACCAAAUUUAUUUAUUCUCAUGGAAAGGUUUUUGAUUUAAUGAGAAGCCUGAAUGGUAAGCAAUAAAUUGUGAGGCCUGGAGCAACUCGUUUUGCUACGUCAUUCCUUACUUUGGCCAGCAUGUGGAAGCAAAGGCAAACAUUGAAAACUCUCUUUGUUAGCACACAAUGGUAUGCAAACAAAUUAAAGGACAAUGAAGGAGGGAAGGUCGUUGAAGCAACUGUGAUCUCCGUGCCAUUUUGGCAAUCGGUGGAGUGUUGCAUGAGAGCUUCACAACCCCUUCUUAGGGCUUUGAGGAUCGCUGAUGGUGAUGAGACUGCGGCUAUGGCAGAAAUGUGGGCAGCCACAAAUGUUGCAAAGACACACAUAAAGGAAGCUUUGACACAUAAGCCAAACCUCCUAGGUCAACUGGUAGCUAUUGUUGAUAAGAGAUGGGAUAAUUAGAUGGAACAAAAGCUACGUGGGGCUACUUUGUUCUUGAACCCAAAUAAAUUGUUUGUCAUUAAGGAGUCCAACAAAAGACAAGCUUCCCGUCUUCGUUCAAUGUUCAAUUAUGUGCUAUGGAAGAUGGUGCCCAAUGAUGAGCAACAAAGAACUAUAAGUAGGGAAGUCAACGACUAUGAGCUGCCGGAAGGUGAAUGUUUGUUGAAGCCAUUGUCAAUUAAAGACCGUCACAAAAAAGCCCUCAUUCUUUGGUGGAAUGCUUAUGGUGGCCUUGCUUUUGACCUCCAAACUCUUGCAAAGCGAAUCAUUAGUCUAUGUUGUUCAGCAUCCGACUGCGAGCACAAUUGGAGAGUAUUUGCUCAUAUCCACACCAAAGGGACAAACCGUCUAGAGUACAAGAGAUUGAAUAAGCUAUCAUAUGUCUUGUACAACCGGAUAAUGGAAGCCAGGUUUCAGAAUCUGCGUGAGCAAGGCUCUAAGACAACGAAAUCUAAUCCACUUGUGCUAGAAGAAUUUUAAUGGGAUAAUGAAUGGGUUGAUAUCAAUGCUGAAAUGGGUGAAAUACCACUACUUUGGCCUCAAGUUGAUGAAGCCAUGGGUCUGUCGACUUCUCUAGCAGGUCGCAACUAUCCUAGGAGAGCUCGUGGUGAUCCUGGCGAACCUAUUGCAGGACCCAUAGGCCCUUAUAUCACCUACACUUGGAACCACGCAAGAACAAGGCUGGUUGUGCAUGAUGAAGAGUUGAGAGCUGAAUUAGAAGCGGCAGAAUAUGACAAAGACAAGAGAGCAACGAUGAAGACAAUGAUGAAGACACCGGUUUUCAACUUGAAGACAUGGAUCUUGAGGCAAUUCAUGUUUUGGUGUUAA